UUCUUAUAUUAUUUAAUUCUCUUACUUAAUUCUGGUUUACAAUUUACGUCUCUUGAAAAAAGAGUUCCUAAAAGUAUUUAAAAACUCCCGUAAACCCUAAAAAAUUAUCAGAUUUUUUCAAGUAUUCUUUUUUAUCACCAUUUUAAUUGACUUUACAAUAACUCCCAGACUUAUAACCCUCAAAUCCUCUCUCUACUUGGGAAUUAUUGCAGUAAAGUUAGAACCGGGUCAAGUCCUGACGAUUCCCAUAAUGACUGGCACUUACUCAAUGGCCAAGAAAAAAUCCAAGAAAAUAAAAUAAAGGACCCAAAGCGACCAAGCUAAAGUCCUGCUGAAACUUUUCAAUUAGUUAUGCUCACAACUUCAUAAUGCGAGGAGGUGGUGGAGUGCCAAAACAGGCAAACUGAAUUUGCAAAACCAAAUUGGCAAACAUGCCAAUAAGUAGUCCUGCAAACACUGAACCACUACCCAUUCAGCUGAAAUAAAACAACAUUUGACAGCCA
Molecule: long non-coding RNA, 503 nt
Organism: Drosophila kikkawai
Lineage: Eukaryota; Metazoa; Arthropoda; Insecta; Diptera; Drosophilidae
Source: RefSeq, a predicted model, not a curated record